UUGUUCCAUCCGGUUUAAACA
Molecule: non-coding RNA, 21 nt
Filed under: Caenorhabditis elegans
Lineage: Eukaryota; Metazoa; Nematoda; Chromadorea; Rhabditida; Rhabditidae
Source: RNAcentral